Molecule: ribosomal RNA, 551 nt
Filed under: uncultured Diversispora
Lineage: Eukaryota; Fungi; Glomeromycota; Glomeromycetes; Diversisporales; Diversisporaceae
Description: SSU rRNA
Rfam family: Eukaryotic small subunit ribosomal RNA
Source: RNAcentral
UUGGAGGGCAAGUCUGGUGCCAGCAGCCGCAGUAAUUCCAGCUCCAAUAGCGUAUAUUAAAGUUGUUGCGGUUAAAAAGCUCGUAGUUGAACUUCGGGGUCUACCCAUUGGCCAGGCUUAAUUGUCUGCACUGGUGAGAUGGAUCUCUACCUUCUGGGGAACUUUCAUGCCAUUUAUUUAGUGUGAUGGGAAAUCAGGACUGUUACUUUGAAAAAAUUAGAGUGUUUAAAGCAGACUAUCGUCUGAAUACAUUAGCAUGGAAUAAUGAAAUAGGACGGACUGAUUCUAUUUCGUUGGUUUCUAGGAUCACCGUAAUGAUUAAUAGGGAUAGUUGGGGGCAUUAGUAUUCAAUUGUCAGAGGUGAAAUUCUUGGAUUUAUUGAAGACUAACUACUGCGAAAGCAUUUGCCAAGGAUGUUUUCAUUAAUCAAGAACGAAAGUUAGGGGAUCGAAGACGAUCAGAUACCGUCGUAGUCUUAACCAUAAACUAUGCCGACUAGGGAUCGGACGAAGUUAAUUUUAUAAUGACGCGUUCGGCGCCUUACGGGAAAC